GGCGGUUCUUGGGUGACACACCCCAGAAUCAGGCGUCCUCCUCUCUGGUUCUGGGUGUGUCAGCCCAGAACCACA
Myotis brandtii (Brandt's bat) is the source of this 75-nucleotide non-coding RNA. Lineage: Eukaryota; Metazoa; Chordata; Mammalia; Chiroptera; Vespertilionidae. The record is from Rfam.